GGCGACGUGGGCGUCGUAUUGCGCAGGGGAAAAGUCCUUUUACGCACAGGGGUUUUCGUUUUUGGCAAGGCGUCUUGCGAACGAGGAGGAGGGAAUUAGGCAGGACUCCACGCGGAACUGGCAGGAGGAGGCUUCCCUGAGAGGCCGGGGGCCACGACUGCCUGCUGCCUGGGACCCAAACUUGCUGAAGCUAGGAGGGGAGCAACUGGAGAGAGCUUCUUGGUGCCCUUCUCCGCUGAAGGUGCAAAUAUGUGUGAGUAAGCCAUAUUUCUAAGACGCUGCAGGCUGCUUGAUUUUCCAAGUGAAACCCAACCCUGGGCGAGUGCCUGGAACCUCCCUGGGAUCUUCCGCUUGGCAGAGAUUGAAUGUGGCAUGUAACACAUGCUGGCAUCUACUGUUGGGAGGGUGCCUUUGUGGGUGAAGUCAAACCAUCGGAAGGUUACGGCGCCUGCCGUGGCUGUAGAAACCGAUACGGGAGAG
Podarcis lilfordi (Lilford's wall lizard) is the source of this 480-nucleotide non-coding RNA. NCBI's taxonomy places the organism in Eukaryota, Metazoa, Chordata, Lepidosauria, Squamata, Lacertidae. The record is from the annotation of a GenBank genome assembly.